ACGGAGGGUGCAAGCGUUAUCCGGAUUCACUGGGUUUAAAGGGUCCGUAGGCGGUUUAGUAAGUCAGUGGUGAAAGCCCAUCGCUCAACGGUGGAACGGCCAUUGAUACUGCUUAACUUGAAUUACUAGGAAGUAACUAGAAUAUGUAGUGUAGCGGUGAAAUGCUUAGAGAUUACAUGGAAUACCAAUUGCGAAGGCAGGUUACUACUAGUGGAUUGACGCUGAUGGACGGAAGCGUGGGUAGCGAACAGGA
RNAcentral lists this ribosomal RNA (253 nucleotides) under uncultured prokaryote. Its description in RNAcentral is "partial 16S ribosomal RNA". It matches the Rfam family "Bacterial small subunit ribosomal RNA", at positions 525 to 777 of the family's 1533-position model. The record is from RNAcentral.